This 441-nucleotide ribosomal RNA is filed under the name Bacillus sp. (in: firmicutes). Its description in RNAcentral is "bacterial SSU rRNA". It matches the Rfam family "Bacterial small subunit ribosomal RNA", at positions 331 to 765 of the family's 1533-position model. Lineage: Bacteria; Bacillati; Bacillota; Bacilli; Caryophanales; Bacillaceae. The record is from RNAcentral.
CCUACUUCUUUCGGGGGGCAGCAGUAGGGAAUCUUCCGCAAUGGACGAAAGUCUGACGGAGCAACGCCGCGUGAGUGAUGAAGGUUUUCGGAUCGUAAAGCUCUGUUGUUAGGGAAGAACAAGUGCAAGAGUAACUGCUUGCACCUUGACGGUACCUAACCAGAAAGCCACGGCUAACUACGUGCCAGCAGCCGCGGUAAUACGUAGGUGGCAAGCGUUGUCCGGAAUUAUUGGGCGUAAAGGGCUCGCAGGCGGUUUCUUAAGUCUGAUGUGAAAGCCCCCGGCUCAACCGGGGAGGGUCAUUGGAAACUGGGAAACUUGAGUGCAGAAGAGGAGAGUGGAAUUCCACGUGUAGCGGUGAAAUGCGUAGAGAUGUGGAGGAACACCAGUGGCGAAGGCGACUCUCUGGUCUGUAACUGACGCUGAGAGCGAAGCUACCUC